Molecule: ribosomal RNA, 1268 nt
Filed under: uncultured bacterium
Lineage: Bacteria
Description: bacterial SSU rRNA
Rfam family: Bacterial small subunit ribosomal RNA
Source: RNAcentral
GGGUGAGUAACACGUGAGUAACCUGCCCUUGACUUUGGGAUAACUUCAGGACACUGGGGCUAAUACCGGAUAGGAGCUCCUGCUGCAUGGUGGGGGUUGGAAAGUUUCGGCGGUUGGGGAUGGACUCGCGGCUUAUCAGCUUGUUGGUGGGGUAGUGGCUUACCAAGGCUUUGACGGGUAGCCGGCCUGAGAGGGUGACCGGCCACAUUGGGACUGAGAUACGGCCCAGGCUCCUACGGGAGGCAGCAGUGGGGAAUAUUGCACAAUGGGCGGAAGCCUGAUGCAGCAACGCCGCGUGCGGGAUGACGGCCUUCGGGUUGUAAACCGCUUUCGCCUGUGACGAAGCGUGAGUGACGGUAAUGGGUAAAGAAGCACCGGCUAACUACGUGCCAGCAGCCGCGGUGAUACGUAUGGUGCGAGCGUUGUCCGGAUUUAUUGUGCGUAAAGGGCUCGUACGCGGUUGAUCGCGUCGGAAGUGUAAUCUUGGGGCUUAACCCUGAGCGUGCUUUCGAUACGGGUUGACUUGAGGAAGGUAGGGGAGAAUGGAAUUCCUGGUGGAGCGGUGGAAUGCGCAGAUAUCAGGAGGAACACCAGUGGCGAAGGCGGUUCUCUGGGCCUUUCCUGACGCUGAGGAGCGAAAGCGUGGGGAGCGAACAGGCUUAGAUACCCCGGUAGUCCACGCUGUAAACGGUGGGUACUAGGUGUGGGGUCCAUUCCACGGGUUCCGUGCCGUAGCUAACGCUUUAAGUACCCCGCCUGGGGAGUACGGCCGCAAGGCUAAAACUCAAAGGAAUUGACGGGGCCCCGCACAAGCGGCGGAGCAUGCGGAUUAAUUCGAUGCAACGCGUAGAACCUUACCUGGGUUUGACAUGGAUCGGGAGUGCUCAGAGAUGGGUGUGCCUCUUUUGGGGUCGGUUCACAGGUGGUGCAUGGCUGUCGUCAGCUCGUGUCGUGAGAUGUUGGGUUAAGUCCCGCAACGAGCGCAACCCUUGUUCACUGUUGCCAGCACGUUAUGGUGGGGACUCAGUGGAGACCGCCGGGGUCAACUCGGAGGAAGGUGGGGAUGACGUCAAGUCAUCAUGCCCCUUAUGUCCAGGGCUUCACGCAUGCUACAAUGGCUGGUACAGAGAGUGGCGAGCCUGUGAGGGUGAGCGAAUCUCGGAAAGCCGGUCUCAGUUCGGAUUGGGGUCUGCAACUCGACCUCAUGAAGUCGGAGUCGCUAGUAAUCGCAGAUCAGCAACGCUGCGGUGAAUACGUUCCCGGGGGCU